GAGCGUAUAGCUCAGUGGUAGAGCGCAUGCUUAGCAGGCACAAGGUCCUGGGUUCAGUCCCCAGUACCUCCU
RNAcentral lists this transfer RNA (72 nucleotides) under Camelus bactrianus (Bactrian camel). It matches the Rfam family "tRNA". From Rfam's summary of the family: Transfer RNA (tRNA) molecules are approximately 80 nucleotides in length. Lineage: Eukaryota; Metazoa; Chordata; Mammalia; Artiodactyla; Camelidae. The record is from Rfam by way of RNAcentral. RNAcentral also lists the same sequence under 1 other name.